GUAAGGAAUAUUGGACAAUGGACGCAAGUCUGAUCCAGCCAUGCCGCGUGAAGGAUUAAGGUCCUCUGGAUUGUAAACUUCUUUUAUAAGGGACGAAAAAAGGCUUUUCUAAGUCGUCUGACGGUACCUUAUGAAUAAGCACCGGCUAACUCCGUGCCAGCAGCCGCGGUAAUACGGAGGGUGCAAGCGUUAUCCGGAUUCACUGGGUUUAAAGGGUGCGUAGGCGGGCAGGUAAGUCAGUGGUGAAAUCCUAGAGCUUAACUCUAGAACUGCCAUUGAUACUAUCUGUCUUGAAUAUUGUGGAGGUAAGCGGAAUAUGUCAUGUAGCGGUGAAAUGCUUAGAUAUGACAUAGAACACCUAUUGCGAAGGCAGCUUACUACGCAUAUAUUGACGCUGAGGCACGAAAGCGUGGGGAUCAAACAGGAUUAGAAACCCCGUAGUCC
Molecule: ribosomal RNA, 444 nt
Filed under: uncultured bacterium
Lineage: Bacteria
Description: bacterial SSU rRNA
Rfam family: Bacterial small subunit ribosomal RNA
Source: RNAcentral